GCGCUUGUAGCUCAGCUGGAUAGAGUACCUGGCUACGAACCAGGUGGUCGUAGGUUCGACUCCUACCAAGCGCA
Oleispira antarctica is the source of this 74-nucleotide transfer RNA. It matches the Rfam family "tRNA". Rfam says of the family: Transfer RNA (tRNA) molecules are approximately 80 nucleotides in length. Their secondary structure includes four short double-helical elements and three loops (D, anti-codon, and T loops). The record is from Rfam. NCBI's taxonomy places the organism in Bacteria, Pseudomonadati, Pseudomonadota, Gammaproteobacteria, Oceanospirillales, Oceanospirillaceae.